This 2410-nucleotide long non-coding RNA is filed under the name Theobroma cacao (cacao). RNAcentral describes it as "long non-coding RNA (TCAC_LNC002979)". Lineage: Eukaryota; Viridiplantae; Streptophyta; Magnoliopsida; Malvales; Malvaceae. The record is from RNAcentral.
AGAAUUUGAGGAAUGGUGAACUUCUAAUUGGAUGGCUUGUCAAAACAUGGACAAGCCAGCUUGAAAUGUGGCCACUUUCUAAGUAGAGACACUGUCACGACUCGGUAUUCUCCUCGAGUUCAUAACAACCGCCGUGAUGUCCCGAUAGACAUUCAUUACCCAGAAUGCCAACUGAAACUCUGCAAGGCUUUAAUAUCAGUUUUCUCACCUCCCCUGCGAGCAACAGUUGCUAAUCUCAUAAUUUAAAAGAUUAUAAACUAUUUCCAAACCAAAACAAUAAAAAAAAAAUUUUCGUCUCACAGGGGUAUUUUCGUCAUUUUUUCCUAAAAAUUUCAAAACCAUCUAAAAAUGUAGUAUAUGCGUAAAAGAUACAUAUUUCAUAACCAAAAAUAAGUUUAGAUUUCUAAAACAUUCAUUUAGAGUGAAAUUGUAGCUAAUAGAAUAAAAUAAAAAUAUUGAAUAAAAUAUUCUAUUUUUUUAUAAAAUAAUUUUUAUAGAACUACGCGUAAAUAAUUUUUGUAGCGUAAAAGCAAAAUAAAUUCGUACAUACAGUAACACAGUGAGCCAAAGUGUAUAAUUUAAUUUACAAUGACGUGUGGACCCCCGAAUGACCAAAAGUAACAAAGACUAUGAACCUACGAUUUUUGAAGAUGCAAGUCCAACUGUAGCUCUCAACGAAAUCAGCUAUCUACAGACUAUCCUGAGUCUAAAAUGAGUGAAAAGGAGGGUGGUGAGUUUAUAUAAACUCAGUGAGUAAACAAACAUCAUCUAAAAUAUCUAAAACCGAGUAAAUGGAGACGAUUAAAAUAGAUCAUCAUAAGAUGAUUCAUAACCUCAAAACACAUUUCAAAUCAUCUAAACCAGUUACAUUUCAUCCAAAAUAUACGAAGCUUAUGAAUCUCUUAAAAACUUGGCUCGUGCCAAAACUCAUUCUUGGGGAUACCUUGAUCAGAGGCAUCCAAUCGAGACAGCCAAGGCGGUUAAAAAAAAGUUCAUAUACGCACAAAACACAUUUUUAUGUUUAAAAGCACAGUCGUUCCUUGGCGUUGGUUGAAUUCACUCUCACAUGGUGGUUUAGUGUGAAGUGAACUCUAAACUUUACCUCAGGAGUUACCCUCCACGCCUCUCGUACCGAGGUAAAAUAUAACAAGGUUUACCGUGCCCCUCUAAUAGGCUGGUCCACAAAAACCCGCCCACUGCUGUAAGCUAAUCGAUAUCCCACUAAAUCAAUAAAAUUCCAACAGCAUGACAUGGCAAUUAUUUUACAACACAGCAUGUCAAGGCAAAACAACAGUUCAUAUAUGGUUAGCACAAUUACCAAUCCAGCCACUCAUGCCCACAUUAUCAUAAGCCAUUCAAUUCAAACCAUGAUUUAUAACACAGCAAGUAGUCCCCAAUUACUCCAUUUUCAAAACCAUCAUUCAAUUUCAAGACAAUUUUAUAAAAUCAUUUCAUUUAAUCACAUUUUACUUGUAAAACAUAAAGAUUUACCAUUUAAACUCAUUUUUCUAUCAAAUCACAAAAACGAAUGAAAACUACUUUAGAUAAUUAAGACGAUAAUAAGGUUACUCACAAUAUCGGGAGUUCGAAGUACCCUACUCUUGGUCCUCUGGCAUAAUGUCUUUACCCUUGUUAGAGGACUCACCAUCUAUACACAAUACACGAUAAAUAAUUCAAUAUAUUGUGUCAUAUCAUUAUAAAUCUAUUUCAGGCUCAAUAUGAAUGCAUGAGGUUGUUUGGAUAGUCAGUUAAAAAUGGAAUUCACGUUGGUUCAAGGGUGAUCGGAAUGGAUCAAUUUUCGACCUAAUUUGAACUCUUCACUUUUGAUUUAACCAAAACAUCCAAAUUGACUCCAAAUAAAUUCAUUUCACUUCCAAUACUCCAAAUCAUCAAAUAUAAGCUAGAUAACAUGAAUUAUAGCAAAAUCAUCCUCAACAUUUUCUCUUGGAAAAUUCGGCCAUGGUGGGUGCAUAAGCACUAUGGUUUUUCACACUUGAUUUUUUUACACCAUAAAUCAUUAAUUCCUAACCAAAUCACUUGAAAUAAAAUAAAAUCCACCAUUCACAUACCAUAAGGAAGAUUCGGCCAAUGAGGGUGAUGUAAGAACAUGAAUUUUUCUUGUUUACUUUUUAUAUUACACAUCACCAACCAACUAAAAACACUAGAAUAACAUGAAAUCUAGCUAAAUCCUAGAUCAAAACUCCUCCCCCCAUGUCCGGCCAGCAAAGGUAUCCUCAUGCAAACUUGAUUCUCAACCAUGGAAAAUGAAAAAGAAUGCAUAGGAAAGGUAGAUCACAAGCUAAAAUCAAGAAAUUUUACCUUUACUUGCUCAAUUCCUUGAAAUCCACCAAUUUUCUCUUGAAUUUUCUAACUAGGGUUUUGUUCUUUCUUUCUUUCCUCUUUUCCUUGG